RNAcentral lists this long non-coding RNA (2468 nucleotides) under Sus scrofa (pig). RNAcentral's name for it is "lncRNA (ENSSSCG00040018498.1)". Lineage: Eukaryota; Metazoa; Chordata; Mammalia; Artiodactyla; Suidae. The record is from RNAcentral.
CCCCGCGCUGCACACACUGCAUUGGAAUGAACUGCGGUGACCCUGCCCCACAGAGAUCCGGCUCCAGUUUCCCCGCUGGCAGUCAGUUAUUCCAUCCAGAUGCCUGUGAAGUGUGCUGGACGCGCUGGGCUCCUGCCUCAUGAAUCAGGGAGUGGGGCCUCGGGAGGGAUGCACCCCCCCUUCCUGGGAACGACCUGGGACUUGUUCCAGGUGCUUUUCCCACCCCCGCAGGGGAGGGGCGACGGGCUGUGGUGGGGGCUGUGGGGAGGCUGGGACCCCUCCCUGGCCUUCCCCCCUCACCCCAGGGGCCCAGGAUCAGGAGGACCCAGGAGGGACCCUGUGCCAACCUAGGGACCACGAGGCCCUGGCCAGCAGAGGGCUCCCCCAUGGGCCAAGUGCUCAGCAGUGGCCAGAGGCAGGGCAGCCCUGGGGGUAUGAAGGGCCUGGUCACCUUGGGCCCCCUGACCCUCAGGAGCUGAGGGUCCCCAUGCAGGGCCCGUGGGCGUGAUGUGAUGUGAGCUGUCACUCUCCACUCCCUCUCCCACACCUCCAUCCUGGACCUUGGGCUGUCACUCUCCACUCCCUGUCCCCACACCUCCAUCCUGGACCUUGGGCUGUCACUCUCCACUCCCCCUCCCACACCUCCAUCCAGGACCUUGGGCUGUCCCUCUCCACUCCCUCCCCCACACCUCCAUCCUGGACCUUGGGCUGUCACUCUCCCCUCCCUCUCCCACACCUCCAUCCAGGACCUUGGGCUGUCACUCUCCCCUCCCUCUCCCACACCUCCAUCCAGGACCUUGGGCUGUCCCUCUCCACUCCCUCCCCCACACCUCCAUCCUGGACCUUGGGCUGUCACUCUCCACUCCCCCUCCCACACCUCCAUCCAGGACCUUGGGCUGUCCCUCUCCACUCCCUCCCCCACACCUCCAUCCUGGACCUUGGGCUGUCACUCCCCACCCCCUGUCCCCACACCUCCAUCCUGGACCUUGGGCUGUCACUCCCCACCCCCUGUCCCCACACCUCCAUCCUGGACCUUGGGCUGUCACUCUCCACUCCCUCCCCACACCUCCAUCCAGGACCUUGGGCUGUCACUCUCCACUCCCCCUCCCACACCUCCAUCCAGGACCUUGGGCUGUCACUCUCCACUCCCUGUCCCCACCCCUCCAUCCUGGACCUUGGGCUGUCACUCUCCACUCCCUCCCCCACACCUCCAUCCUGAACCUUGGGCUGUCACUCUCCACUCCCUCUCCCACACCUCCAUCCUGGACCUUGGGCUGUCACUCCCCACCCCCUGUCCCCACACCUCCAUCCUGGACCUUGGGCUGUCCCUCUCCACUCCCUCUCCCACCCCUCCAUCCAGGACCUUGGGCUGUCACUCUCCACUCCCUCCCCCACACCUCCAUCCUGGACCUUGGGAUGCUUCCCGAGGCACCCCACCCACGGCCCUGCCCCGUCACCUCCUCUUGGCUGCCCCUCGGGCUCCUCUCCACAGGGCAGCCACAGGGACACCAUGGGAGAGCUGUCCAGACCUCCCUGCCAGCUGCUUCCCCGGGCUCCCGAGUCAGCGUCUGAGCCACACCCCCAGGCUGCACAGCCCCCACCCCACUGCAGGGCCAGGCCAACAGGGACGGGCUGAGGCCACGCACUCUGGUUAUCUCGGCGCCACCCCGGGCCACCGUGUGACACACUCACCAGCUGGAGGGCACAACACUGACUGCCCGCUGAGGCCUCGUUCCCACGCUCCUUCUGCCCAGCUCACCCUGCCAGGCAGACGCGCACCCUCUGCACACAGCCCUGUGGCAGCAGAGCAUUCCUAGUCCCUCAGUGAGGCCACCUGAGGGCUCCCAGAUCUGGGGGGACUGGACGUGCCCCUGAGGGCUCCCCGUGCAGAGGCCUCGGUGAGCGGGGUCCCUGGCCUCCUGCUCACCCUUCAGGACACCGCAGGCUCCACCCAGCUGUUCUCAGAUGAGCCCAGAGCCCAGAGCCACCACAGGCUGGGAGGACUUGGCCUGGCUUCAAAUAUAACUCUGGAAUUUUAAGAGCAAUGUGCUAUUUAGGUUAACGUGGGCCACAGCCCAUUUCCCUCCCCAAACCAAGGUCCAGGAGGCCCACUCAUCCCAGCUAAGGGUGUGUCUGUAAGAGCGACCACAAGCCAGAGUUGUGACACAGGCUAGUGUCACAAAGGCUAGUGCCCUGGGGGCCUGGGGGAGGGGCUGGGAGGACCUGGGGCGACCCUAGGGGUGAGGUCUGGACCCAUCCCCAGGAGCAGAGCCCUGGGCACAGCGAGGAGUCAAGACAAGCAGGCAGGGCCCUGGGACCAGGCGAGAGGCUCCAUCCUGAGCCUUGGCCGGCCCCUCACCUGGGGGAACCCCGCCCCCGAGCCUGCUCCUGGUGCAUCAGUGGUGGCCUUGCCUGGUGGAGCCGGCCCACCGUGAGGUACCCAAGCUCCUCAGGGAGCAGCUGUGAGU